GAGUUUGAUCAUGGCUCAGAACGAACGCUGGCGGCGUGCCUAAUACAUGCAAGUCGAGCGAGAAAGUCUCUUCGGAGGCGAGUAAAGCGGCGCACGGGUGAGUAACACGUGGGCAACCUGCCCUUGAGUCUGGGAUAACCCGGGGAAACUCGGGCUAAUACCAGAUACGGCUGCGGGGUCUUUGGACCCUGUGGAGAAAGAUGGCCUCUUCAUGAAUGCUAUCUCUCAAGGAUGGGCCCGCGUCCUAUUAGCUAGUUGGUGGGGUAACGGCUCACCAAGGCAGAGAUGGGUAGCUGGUCUGAGAGGAUGACCAGCCACACUGGAACUGAGACACGGUCCAGACUCCUACGGGAGGCAGCAGUAGGGAAUUUUGGGCAAUGGGCGAAAGCCUGACCCAGCAACGCCGCGUGUGGGAUGAAGGCCCUCGGGUCGUAAACCACUGUCAGGAGGAAAGAAAAGCCGAUCGGGUAAUAUUCGGUCGGCCUGACGGUACCUCCAAAGGAAGCACCGGCUAACUCCGUGCCAGCAGCCGCGGUAAUACGGAGGGUGCAAGCGUUGUUCGGAAUUACUGGGCGUAAAGCGCGUGUAGGUGGUUGAGUAAGUCGAAUGUGAAAGCCCCGGGCUCAACCCGGGAAGUGCAUC
RNAcentral lists this ribosomal RNA (642 nucleotides) under uncultured bacterium. Its description in RNAcentral is "bacterial SSU rRNA". It matches the Rfam family "Bacterial small subunit ribosomal RNA", at positions 9 to 627 of the family's 1533-position model. The record is from RNAcentral.